RNAcentral lists this transfer RNA (74 nucleotides) under Paramuricea clavata. Its description in RNAcentral is "tRNA-Ser". It matches the Rfam family "tRNA". From Rfam's summary of the family: Transfer RNA (tRNA) molecules are approximately 80 nucleotides in length. Their secondary structure includes four short double-helical elements and three loops (D, anti-codon, and T loops). Lineage: Eukaryota; Metazoa; Cnidaria; Anthozoa; Malacalcyonacea; Plexauridae. The record is from RNAcentral.
GGCUUUGUAGCUCAGUUGGUUAGAGCGCUGCACCGGAAUCGCAGGACCGCAUGUUCGAUUUUUGCCCGGGGCCU